AACCUUUACACUGCACGAAAGUGUGAUAAGGGAAUCCCGAGUGCUCAUGCAAUGCAUGGGCUUUUGCCAAAUGUAAAUAGUUUGGCGAAUAAGUGGUGGGUAAGACAUGUGCCAGCCGCCGCGGUAACACCUGCGCCACAAGUGGCAAUCGUUAUUAUUGGGCCUAAAGCGUCCGUAGCUGGUCCAGCAAAUUUCCUGUGAAAUCGUUGUGCUCAACGCAACGGCGUGCAGGAAAGACUACUGGACUUGGGACCGGGAGGCGUCAGAGGUAUUCCUGAGGGAGCGGUAAAAUGCUAUAAUCUCAGGAGGACCCCCUGUGGCGAAGGCGUCUGACGAGAACGGAUCCGACAGUGAGGGACGAAAGCCAGGGGAGCGAACCGG
Molecule: ribosomal RNA, 381 nt
Filed under: uncultured archaeon
Lineage: Archaea
Description: bacterial SSU rRNA
Rfam family: Archaeal small subunit ribosomal RNA
Source: RNAcentral